GUGGGGAAUAUUGGACAAUGGGCGAAAGCCUGAUCCAGCCAUGCCGCGUGUGUGAAGAAGGUCUUCGGAUUGUAAAGCACUUUAAGUUGGGAGGAAGGGUAGUAACCUAAUACGUUGCUACUUUGACGUUACCGACAGAAUAAGCACCGGCUAACUUCGUGCCAGCAGCCGCGGUAAUACGAAGGGUGCAAGCGUUAAUCGGAAUUACUGGGCGUAAAGCGCGCGUAGGUGGUUCAGUAAGUUGGAAGUGAAAACCCCGGGCUCAACCUGGGAACUGCUUUCAAAACUGCAUGACUAGAGUACGGUAGAGGGUAGUGGAAUUUCCUGUGUAGCGGUGAAAUGCGUAGAUAUAGGAAGGAACACCAGUGGCGAAGGCGACUACCUGGACUGAUACUGACACUGAGGUGCGAAAGCGUGGGGAGCAAACAGGAUUAGAAACCCGGGUAGUCC
RNAcentral lists this ribosomal RNA (450 nucleotides) under uncultured bacterium. RNAcentral's name for it is "partial 16S ribosomal RNA". It matches the Rfam family "Bacterial small subunit ribosomal RNA", at positions 354 to 796 of the family's 1533-position model. The record is from RNAcentral.